CGCUGAUGUGAUCAGUUUCUUUUGGACUAAAUGACUCGACUCUGUGGAUUAUGUGAGUUGUUUUUGUGACAGAAGAGGUGCUGAUGAUGAGUCUGAUGAGGAGAGACUGGAGCGUUUGUUUGAGGCGACGUUUAUAUGACGACGUCUGAACAGAAGAAGUAAAAGUGUCGAGUCUGAUGAGGAGCGACGGGAACAUUUGUUUAAAUUUCAUGUUUUCAAGUCGGAUCGUGGAUGAUUUGUGUUCAAAUCCCGCUGCUCCGUGAGACGACACUUUGCGUUUGACGUGUGAUCUGUCGGACGAUUGUUUGUGUGUUUUAUAAACUCGUGUGGGCAGCAGCCAAACGAAGCAGGACACGAAAGAAAUCAAAUAAACUCAACGCCACUGACGUCCAAACACCUUCAACAGAAUCAUCUGGAGCAUUUCAGUCCUGGAACUGAUGAUCUCCACUGAACUAAAGGGAAAAAAGGAGAUGUUCACUUGAAAACUACCACUUCAUGACAUCACAAGGUGGAACAGAGCGUUUUGAUGUUUGGAGAAGUAAACAGACGAAUAAUAAAAACUCAAACACGACUCCAGUUCUGUUUUUGACGAGGAGACGACAUUAGAACACGACUUAAACCUCACACAGUCACAUUUGUGUCACAUAAAAACUUUAAAUUAUAUAUUGUGUUAAAAAAAGAACAU
This is a long non-coding RNA of Boleophthalmus pectinirostris (great blue-spotted mudskipper), 685 nucleotides long. RefSeq lists it as uncharacterized. The record is from RefSeq and is a predicted model, not a curated record. The transcript has 3 exons. Lineage: Eukaryota; Metazoa; Chordata; Actinopteri; Gobiiformes; Gobiidae.